This 301-nucleotide ribosomal RNA is filed under the name uncultured bacterium. Its description in RNAcentral is "partial 16S ribosomal RNA". It matches the Rfam family "Bacterial small subunit ribosomal RNA", at positions 509 to 807 of the family's 1533-position model. The record is from RNAcentral.
CAGCCGCCGCGGUAAUACGAAGGGGGCUAGCGUUGUUCGGAAUUACUGGGCGUAAAGCGCACGUAGGCGGACAUUUAAGUCAGGGGUGAAAUCCCGGGGCUCAACCCCGGAACUGCCUUUGAUACUGGGUGUCUAGAGUAUGGAAGAGGUGAGUGGAAUUCCGAGUGUAGAGGUGAAAUUCGUAGAUAUUCGGAGGAACACCAGUGGCGAAGGCGGCUCACUGGUCCAUUACUGACGCUGAGGUGCGAAAGCGUGGGGAGCAAACAGGAUUAGAUACCCGCGUAGUCCCUGUCUCUUAUAC